Molecule: non-coding RNA, 2117 nt
Organism: Callithrix jacchus (white-tufted-ear marmoset)
Lineage: Eukaryota; Metazoa; Chordata; Mammalia; Primates; Cebidae
Source: RefSeq, a predicted model, not a curated record
CUCCCUUCUGAAAACCAAUAAUCAGAUUGGUGGUGGGGCCUUCAAUGUUGACUCCCCCAGGAUUUAUUCUAACAGUCUCCCUCCCAGUGCGGCGGUGGCUGCCUCUGGUUCACUCAGGAUCAAUCACGCCAAUCAUACAGGCUCCAAUCAUAACUACCUGAGAAACACAUACAACAAACCAAAGCUUUCUGAGCCUGAAGAGGAACUUCUCCAGCAAUUUAAAUGGGAGGAGGUGUCCCAAACAGGGAGUUUCAGUGCCCACUACUUGAUGUUUCUCUUAACUGCUGCCUGCUUAUUUUUCCUAAUACUGGGACUGACUUAUCUAGGAAUGAGAGGGACAGGAGUGUCUGAAAAUGGAGAACUCAGCAUAGAAAACCCCUUUGGUGAAACAUUUGGAAAAAUACAAGAAAGUGAAAAAAAUCUUAUGAUGAACACAUUAUAUAAGCUUCAUGAUCGAUUGGCACAGCUUGCAGGAGAUCAUGAAUGUGGCGGUUCUAGUCAAAGAACGCUUUCUGUUCAAAAGGCAGCUGCAUAUUUAAAAGAUUUAGGUCGUGAAUAUGAAGGUAUAUUUAACACUUCCUUGCAGUGGAUCUUAGAAAAUGGAAAAGAUGUUGGAAUAAGGUGUGUUGGUUUUGGCCCUGAGGAAGAAUUGACAAAUAUAACUGAUGGGCAGUUUUUACAGUCCACAAGACCACUGAUGUCUUUUUGGUGUUGUUUUUGACGUGUUUUUGUUACCAUUACCCACAGAUUGUUGUUAUUAUGCUUAGGUGUAGUGAUGGUUUGUGUUGUUCUGCAUUACAUGAAAUAUCAUUGGACAAAAGAGGAGGAGGAAACCAGGCAGAUGUAUGAUAUGGUGGUAAAGAAUAUAGAUGUUUUAUGAAGUCAUAAUGAAGUGUGCCAGGAAAACAAAGAUUUACAACCUUACAUCCCUAUUCCACAUGUAUGCCAUUUCUUAAUACAGCCUUGACAGGAAAAAAAUGAAGAAAGUCUGGAAUAGAGCUGUCGAUUUCCUUGUUGCUAAUGAGCCUAGAGUUUGCACAGAAACACGAAGAAUAGGUGGCGUAGCUUUUCUGGUUUGAUGAUGAAUCCAGCCUUCUGCAUCCUGUGACAAAAUAUUAGUUAUACUAUCUCAAGUAUGGCAGGAUCAAGCAUUUCAUUUAGAUAGAAGAAAUUCACCACCACAUAGUUUAACACUGUGUCUAAAGAUUUGGAAUAUGUUUGAUCCCUGUUAUGGAAAUAGGGGAUCAGUGGCAUUUGGCAAUUCAAGAAGCAAUUUUAGAAAAAUGCAGUGAUAAUGAUGGCAUUGUUCACAUUGCAGUAGACAAAAAUUCAUGUGAGAGUUGUGUAUAUGUUAAAUGUCGGUCUCCAGAAUAUGCUGGAAAGGCUUUUAAAGCAUCGCAUGGCUCUUGGUUUGAAGGGAAGUUGGUUACAGUAAAAUAGUUGCGACUAGAUAGAAACCACCAUCAUUUUCCCCAGGCUCUUACUUCCAACACUCCACUGAAGCCAUCAAAUAAACAUAUGAACUCUAUGUGUCAUCUUCAUCUUCGGACUGGCCUAACCAAUUCUCAAGGAAGUUCCUGGAAAGAUUUUCUUCCAUUUCUAAGACUGUUAUUUACAAUAGGAAAAUUCCUGUUUGGCUUUUUGUCUUCCUUUUUAAAUGUUUUUUUACAUAAUAUUUUUACUGAUGAAGACAUCUGUUUGAACGUUCCAGAAGUCUUAAGGUUCCAAAGGGAUUUAGCAGUGAGGCAUCAAUGCUGAGUAGGUAGGAUAAUUAUUUCAUUCAGUUUUUGGAGCUCAGUUAAACUAAUACAUUUAAAGUUUUGCAUGAGGAGCAUUGACUUUAUUAAGCAUUUUCAGAUGUGUUGGUUGUAUUUUUGCACCAAGAAGUGUUUGGAUAACCACACAAAAGCAUGAUGAAAAGGCCUCUUGUAGUCCCAUAAUUUCUUGUGAUCUAAUGUUGUGAAUUUUUGCAUACAGUCACCUGCAUAGCUCCUACAGGCUAGUGUGGUAAAACUGUUGAUUUCCCAAUUUAACCUUAAGUUUCUGUUGCUUAUAAGUGAUUCAUUUGCUACAGCUGGAAUAUGGGAAAAUUAAUUUGGGCUUAGUGGUUACAAAUA